RNAcentral lists this unclassified non-coding RNA (629 nucleotides) under Hevea brasiliensis (rubber tree). Lineage: Eukaryota; Viridiplantae; Streptophyta; Magnoliopsida; Malpighiales; Euphorbiaceae. The record is from RNAcentral.
AAUUUUUUUUUAACAAAAAAAAUGAGAAUUCUCAUUUGUUGAUGUCUUCGGUUUAACUUAAUUUCAUGAAAAGAAAUUUAUCAUUAAACCUGAGACCUGAGGUGGCAUUCAAUAAGGCGAAUUUGCUAUCGCUUCUUAUUAUAUUUCUAAGUAGAGAUAAUAUGUCAAAUUGGAGUGGGAUAAGACUAUCUCACAAGAUUAAUCACUAAGCUAUUACAUGUAUUAUGUCAAAUUCGGUAGCAUUCAAUAAGCUGGAUAAUUUGCUAUGGCUUCCUAUUAUAUUUUUAAGUAUUAUGUCAAACCGGAGUGGGACAAGAUUAUCUUAUAAGGUUAAUCACUAAGCUAGUUACAUGUUGUGACCUUGUAUUUUGAAUAUCUAAAAUUGAAAUCUAUUGUGGGGACACCUCAAAUGGGUGUUAGGCAAUGAGGAAUGGAGAUCGGAGAAAUUGUGGUCAUGGAAGUGAGGGACCUCAAUGCAAAGCUAGAGGAAAUUUCUGGUCUCUUUGUUCAAUAAUUAUAGAAUGCAUUGGUGUACAACAGUGAUUUCACGUAGAUAAUUUUACAUAAAAUGGUAAAUCAAUACAAUAGUGAUUUCAUGUAUUUAAUCUUAAAUAAAAUGGUAAAUGAAU